This 253-nucleotide ribosomal RNA is filed under the name uncultured bacterium. Its description in RNAcentral is "partial 16S ribosomal RNA". It matches the Rfam family "Bacterial small subunit ribosomal RNA", at positions 524 to 776 of the family's 1533-position model. The record is from RNAcentral.
UACGAAGGGGGCGAGCGUUGUUCGGAAUUACUGGGCGUAAAGGGCGCGCAGGCGGCUCUGAAAGUCAGAUGUGAAAGCCCCGGGCUUAACCUGGGAAUUGCAUUUGAUACUCUGGAGCUUGAGUACGGGAGAGGAGAGUGGAAUUCCCAGUGUAGAGGUGAAAUUCGUAGAUAUUCGGAAGAACACCAGUGGCGAAGGCGGCUCACUGGACCGGUAUUGACGCUGAGGUGCGAAAGCGUGGGGAGCAAACAGG